GGCUCAGGAUGAACGCUAGCGACAGGCCUUAANACAUGCAAGUCGAGGGCAGCAUGAUUUGUAGCAAUACAGAUUGAUGGCGACCGGCGCACGGGUGAGUAACGCGUAUGCAACUUACCUAUCAGAGGGGAUAGCCCGGCGAAAGUCGGAUUAAUACCCCAUAAAACAGGGGUCCCGCAUGGGAAUAUUUGUUAAAGAUUCAUCGCUGAUAGAUAGGCAUGCGUUCCAUUAGGCAGUUGGCGGGGUAACGGCCCACCAAACCGACGAUGGAUAGGGGUUCUGAGAGGAAGGUCCCCCACAUUGGUACUGAGACACGGACCAAACUCCUACGGGAGGCAGCAGUGAGGAAUAUUGGUCAAUGGCCGAGAGGCUGAACCAGCCAAGUCGCGUGAAGGAAGAAGGAUCUAUGGUUUGUAAACUUCUUUUAUAGGGGAAUAAAGUGGAGGACGUGUCCUUUUUGUAUGUACCCUAUGAAUAAGCAUCGGCUAACUCCGUG
RNAcentral lists this ribosomal RNA (496 nucleotides) under uncultured bacterium. RNAcentral's name for it is "bacterial SSU rRNA". It matches the Rfam family "Bacterial small subunit ribosomal RNA", at positions 21 to 507 of the family's 1533-position model. The record is from RNAcentral.